Long non-coding RNA from Beta vulgaris subsp. vulgaris (sugar beet), 1549 nucleotides. RefSeq lists it as uncharacterized. The record is from RefSeq and is a predicted model, not a curated record. The transcript has 2 exons. NCBI's taxonomy places the organism in Eukaryota, Viridiplantae, Streptophyta, Magnoliopsida, Caryophyllales, Amaranthaceae.
UUAAGGUAUUAGUUUAAAUUAAUAAGAAAGAGAGAAAUAAAAAAUGUGAUCUAGAGAAGUGCGUGAUAUAUACCUUCCUCUAUUAUUUCAUUUGGUUGAGAUUCUAAUUGUAUAUCUUCAUUUAUUGGUUGUUGCUCCAAUUCAUGUUCAACUUCACCAUGUCCUGUUAUAAUGGAAGGAGUCUGAAUUUCCAAAAUUGCUUCUUGUGUCAUUUCAUUGGUAAUAGGAGAUUCCUUGUCUGUGGUGUGUCGCAUCUUUUCUAGCUGCUUUUGCCGAAAUAAGCGAAAGGAAGAUAUAGACCCCGGAGUACAGUACUCCUUUUCUUGUGUCUUUCCCUUUGGUUGUUGCUUUUGAGGGCGUGCAAUAUCCUUUAUCAUUUUCUGUUUUGCGGGUUGGGCAGUGACCAUGGAUUUUCGCUUGUUUUGCUCGACAUUUUCAGAUUGUGUAUCCUUUGCUCGUUGGUUCCUUUGACCAUUUUUAUGCACAAAACCCUCAUAGAUAGUGGUUGAGAUGAUGGGUGCUUCACUCCCUCUUUUUCCACCUGAAACCAUACAAAAAACAUGGGCACAAGAAGGAGGCCACUGAAGUUGAUAAGGGAUUUAAGCAUAAAGAGUUUGAGCUUGCUGACUUGAAGUUCCUGCUUGUAAUGGUUGACUGAUCAGUUAUGAAAUUGAAGCAGGAAUUUGAUGCCAUAAAAAAGAGAAUUGAAGCAAAAGAGGAGCUACAUGCCCGAGAAGACCACCUUACUGACAGAGAAAAGGUCUAGUGUGGGUUCAAACAAGUCUGACAAGACAUGACAGCAGGAAGGAAACAGUGAGUAGAAGCCAGAAGGUUCUGAAUAAUAGUUGUAUUGCAUUUCUUUUUUGUUUGUUAUCUAGGUGCUCUUGUGUUCUUUAUAAGAUAGUAGUAGAUGUCCUAAUUGUAUUAGAAAAUCUAAGCUGGGAGAACCUCGACAUUCGACAAAUUCUGCUACCCAUUGCUAGUUAUUUGAAAAUAAUAAUAGAGCAAACAACCCAGAGAGAGGUUGAACUUCAAACCGUUAUGAAAGGUAUAAUUGCAGGAAAUUUUUAUAUCUAUUUAACCUCUCCAUGCCCAUGGUCAUUUUCUUCUGCCAGAUCCAUAUAUGCAAAUGCUUGCAGUAGCAACAUAAUCAUAUACAGCCAAUUUUCUUUUCAAAUUUUGGAAGCAAUUACUGGUUCUCCUCUACUCAUUAUAUAAAGAAGGCACCAAAUGGUUGACAUGUAGUUAUCCAGAAGAAGACACAUAAUGAACACAGAAGUAUGGUUUUCUAGUUUAAAAUUGUGUUCAUUUGGAAAACAGCUCAUGUAAGCUUGUAUUUGAAAUGCCUAUCACUCUGCUUAUACAUAAUUAUAUGCCAUUAGAAACUGAUAAAAUUUAUGUUGUAUGUUAAAUUAUAGGGACACAAUUACAGCACCAGGCCCAUUACAUAUAAAUGACAAUUCAUUCCGUUAUGCUUGAGAAACUUGGAUACAAUCUCAAUGAAUGAUCUUCAACACUAAUAGAUUUUUCUGCUUAGACUUCAGAGUUU